UAAGUAACCUGGCAUCUACAGGGGGAUAACUGAUGGAAACGUCAGCUAAGACCGCAUAGGUGUAGAGAUCGCAUGAACUUUAUAUGAAAAGUGCUACGGGACUGGUAGAUGAUGGACUUAUGGCGCAUUAGCUGGUUGGUAGGGUAACGGCCUACCAAGGCGACGAUGCGUAGCCGACCUGAGAGGGUGACCGGCCACACUGGGACUGAGACACGGCCCAG
RNAcentral lists this ribosomal RNA (221 nucleotides) under uncultured bacterium. RNAcentral describes it as "partial 16S ribosomal RNA". It matches the Rfam family "Bacterial small subunit ribosomal RNA", at positions 118 to 334 of the family's 1533-position model. The record is from RNAcentral.